CGAGUGGCGAACGGGUGAGUAACACGUGGGUGAUCUGCCCUGCACUCUGGGAUAAGCCUGGGAAACUGGGUCUAAUACCGGAUAGGACCAUGCUUUAGUGUGUGUGGUGGAAAGUUUUUUCGGUGUAGGAUGAGCCCGCGGCCUAUCAGCUUGUUGGUGGGGUAAUGGCCUACCAAGGCGGCGACGGGUAGCCGGACUGAGAGGUUGGUCGGCCACAUUGGGACUGAGAUACGGCCCAGACUCCUACGGGAGGCAGCAGUGGGGAAUAUUGCACAAUGGGCGCAAGCCUGAUGCAGCGACGCCGCGUGGGGGAUGACGGCCUUCGGGUUGUAAACUCCUUUCGCCAGGGACGAAGCGUUUUGUGACGGUACCUGGAGAAGAAGCACCGGCUAACUACGUGCCAGCAGCCGCGGUAAUACGUAGGGUGUAAGCGUUGUCCGGAAUUACUGGGCGUAAAGAGCUCGUAGGUGGUUUGUCACGUCGUCUGUGAAAUUCCACAGCUUAACUGUGGGCGUGCAGGCGAUACGGGUUGACUUGAGUACUGUAGGGGUAACUGGAAUUCCUGGUGUAGCGGUGAAAUGCGCAGAUAUCAGGAGGAACACCGAUGGCGAAGGCAGGUUACUGGGCAGUUACUGACGCUGAGGAGCGAAAGCAUGGGUAGCAAACAGGAUUAGAUACCCUGGUAGUCCAUGCCGUAAACGGUGGGCGCUAGGUGUAGGACCUUUUGGGGUUUCUGUGCCGUAGCUAACGCAUUAAGCGCCCCGCCUGGGGAGUACGCCGCAAGGCUA
RNAcentral lists this ribosomal RNA (788 nucleotides) under uncultured Actinomycetes bacterium. RNAcentral's name for it is "bacterial SSU rRNA". It matches the Rfam family "Bacterial small subunit ribosomal RNA", at positions 92 to 896 of the family's 1533-position model. Lineage: Bacteria; Bacillati; Actinomycetota; Actinomycetes. The record is from RNAcentral.